Molecule: ribosomal RNA, 492 nt
Filed under: uncultured bacterium
Lineage: Bacteria
Description: partial 16S ribosomal RNA
Rfam family: Bacterial small subunit ribosomal RNA
Source: RNAcentral
AGUGAACGCUGGCGGUAGGCCUAACACAUGCAAGUCGAACGGCAGCACAGUAAGAGCUUGCUCUUACGGGUGGCGAGUGGCGGACGGGUGAGGAAUACAUCGGAAUCUACUUUUUCGUGGGGGAUAACGUAGGGAAACUUACGCUAAUACCGCAUACGACCUACGGGUGAAAGCAGGGGAUCUUCGGACCUUGCGCGAUUGAAUGAGCCGAUGUCGGAUUAGCUAGUUGGCGGGGUAAAGGCCCACCAAGGCGACGAUCCGUAGCUGGUCUGAGAGGAUGAUCAGCCACACUGGAACUGAGACACGGUCCAGACUCCUACGGGAGGCAGCAGUGGGGAAUAUUGGACAAUGGGCGCAAGCCUGAUCCAGCCAUACCGCAUGGGUGAAGAAGGCCUUCGGGUUGUAAAGCCCUUUUGUUGGGAAAGAAAAGCAGCAGGUUAAUACCCCGCUGUUCCGACGGUACCCAAAGAAUAAGCACCGGCUAACUUCGUG